GUGCCUGUAGCUCAGCUGGAUAGAGCAUCUGCCUUCUAAGCAGAACGUCGGGAGUUCGAAUCUCUCCAGGCACG
Molecule: transfer RNA, 74 nt
Filed under: Syntrophobotulus glycolicus DSM 8271
Lineage: Bacteria; Bacillati; Bacillota; Clostridia; Eubacteriales; Desulfitobacteriaceae
Rfam family: tRNA
About the family: Transfer RNA (tRNA) molecules are approximately 80 nucleotides in length. Their secondary structure includes four short double-helical elements and three loops (D, anti-codon, and T loops).
Source: Rfam by way of RNAcentral